GGUUAAGCGAACAAGCGUACACGGUGGAUGCCCUGGCAGUCAGAGGCGAUGAAGGACGUGCUAAUCUGCGAAAAGCGCCGGUAAGGUGAUAUGAACCGUUAUAACCGGCGAUGUCCGAAUGGGGAAACCCGGUGCACUUCGGUGCAUCAUCGUUAGCUGAAUACAUAGGCUAACGAGGCGAACCGGGGGAACUGAAACAUCUAAGUACCCCGAGGAAAAGAAAUCAACCGAGAUUCCCCCAGUAGCGGCGAGCGAACGGGGAACAGCCCAGAGCCUGAAUCAGCUUGUGUGUCAGUGGAACGGUCUGGAAAGGCCGGCGAUACAGGGUGACAGCCCCGUACACGAAGGCACACAGGCUGUGAGCUCGAUGAGUAGGGCGGGACACGUGAUAUCCUGUCUGAAGAUGGGGGGACCAUCCUCCAAGGCUAAAUACUCCUGACUGACCGAUAGUGAACCAGUACCGUGAGGGAAAGGCGAAAAGAACCCCGGCGAGGGGAGUGAAACAGAACCUGAAACCGUGUACGUACAAGCAGUGGGAGCCUUCGUAAGAGGGUGACUGCGUACCUUUUGUAUAAUGGGUCAGCGACUUAUAUUCUGUAGCAAGGUUAACCGUAUAGGGGAGCCGAAGGGAAACCGAGUCUUAAUUGGGCGUUAAGUUGCAGGGUAUAGACCCGAAACCCGGUGAUCUAGCCAUGGGCAGGUUGAAGGUUGGGUAACACUAACUGGAGGACCGAACCGACUAAUGUUGAAAAAUUAGCGGAUGACCUGUGGCUGGGGGUGAAAGGCCAAUCAAACCGGGAGAUAGCUGGUUCUCCCCGAAAGCUAUUUAGGUAGCGCCUCGUGAACUCAUCUCCGGGGGUAGAGCACUGUUUCGGCUAGGGGGCCAUCCCGGCUUACCAACCCGAUGCAAACUGCGAAUACCGGAGAAUGUUAUCACGGGAGACACACGGCGGGUGCUAACGUCCGUCGUGAAGAGGGAAACAACCCAGACCGCCAGCUAAGGUCCCAAAGUCAUGGUUAAGUGGGAAACGAUGUGGGAAGGCCCAGACAGCCAGGAUGUUGGCUUAGAAGCAGCCAUCAUUUAAAGAAAGCGUAAUAGCUCACUGGUCGAGUCGGCCUGCGCGGAAGAUGUAACGGGGCUAAACCAUGCACCGAAGCUGCGGCAGCGACACUAUGUGUUGUUGGGUAGGGGAGCGUUCUGUAAGCCUGUGAAGGUGUGCUGUGAGGCAUGCUGGAGGUAUCAGAAGUGCGAAUGCUGACAUAAGUAACGAUAAAGCGGGUGAAAAGCCCGCUCGCCGGAAGACCAAGGGUUCCUGUCCAACGUUAAUCGGGGCAGGGUGAGUCGACCCCUAAGGCGAGGCCGAAAGGCGUAGUCGAUGGGAAACAGGUUAAUAUUCCUGUACUUGGUGUUACUGCGAAGGGGGGACGGAGAAGGCUAUGUCGGCCGGGCGACGGUUGUCCCGGUUUAAGCGUGUAGGCUGACUUUCCAGGCAAAUCCGGAAAGUUAAGGCUGAGGCGUGAUGACGAGGCACCACGGUGCUGAAGUGACAAAUGCCCUGCUUCCAGGAAAAGCCUCUAAGCAUCAGGUAACAUCAAAUCGUACCCCAAACCGACACAGGUGGUCAGGUAGAGAAUACCAAGGCGCUUGAGAGAACUCGGGUGAAGGAACUAGGCAAAAUGGUGCCGUAACUUCGGGAGAAGGCACGCUGACAUGUAGGUGAAGCCCCUGCGGGUGGAGCUGAAGUCAGUCGAAGAUACCAGCUGGCUGCAACUGUUUAUUAAAAACACAGCACUGUGCAAACACGAAAGUGGACGUAUACGGUGUGACGCCUGCCCGGUGCCGGAAGGUUAAUUGAUGGGGUUAUCGCAAGAGAAGCUCCUGAUCGAAGCCCCGGUAAACGGCGGCCGUAACUAUAACGGUCCUAAGGUAGCGAAAUUCCUUGUCGGGUAAGUUCCGACCUGCACGAAUGGCGUAAUGAUGGCCAGGCUGUCUCCACCCGAGACUCAGUGAAAUUGAACUCGCUGUGAAGAUGCAGUGUACCCGCGGCAAGACGGAAAGACCCCGUGAACCUUUACUACAGCUUGACACUGAACAUUGAGCCUUGAUGUGUAGGAUAGGUGGGAGGCUUUGAAGCGUGGACGCCAGUCUGCGUGGAGCCAACCUUGAAAUACCACCCUUUAAUGUUUGAUGUUCUAACCUGGCGCCGUAAUCCGGCGUGGGGACAGUGUCUGGUGGGUAGUUUGACUGGGGCGGUCUCCUCCCAAAGUGUAACGGAGGAGCACGAAGGUCAGCUAAUCCUGGUCGGACAUCAGGAGGUUAGUGCAAUGGCAUAAGCUGGCUUGACUGCGAGAGUGACGGCUCGAGCAGGUGCGAAAGCAGGUCAUAGUGAUCCGGUGGUUCUGUAUGGAAGGGCCAUCGCUCAACGGAUAAAAGGUACUCCGGGGAUAACAGGCUGAUACCGCCCAAGAGUUCAUAUCGACGGCGGUGUUUGGCACCUCGAUGUCGGCUCAUCACAUCCUGGGGCUGAAGUAGGUCCCAAGGGUAUGGCUGUUCGCCAUUUAAAGUGGUACGCGAGCUGGGUUUAGAACGUCGUGAGACAGUUCGGUCCCUAUCUGCCGUGGGCGCUGGAGAAUUGAGGGGGGCUGCUCCCAGUACGAGAGGACCGGAGUGGACGCAUCACUGGUGUUCGGGUUGUCAUGCCAAUGGCACUGCCCGGUAGCUAAAUGCGGAAGAGAUAAGUGCUGAAAGCAUCUAAGCACGAAACUUGCCCCGAGAUGAGUUCUCCCUGACUCCUUGAGAGUCCUGAAGGAACGUUGAAGACGACGACGUUGAUAGGCCGGGUGUGUAAGCGCAGCGAUGCGUUGAGCUAACCGGUACUAAUGAACCGUGAGGCUUAACCUU
Molecule: ribosomal RNA, 2902 nt
Filed under: Cronobacter sakazakii
Lineage: Bacteria; Pseudomonadati; Pseudomonadota; Gammaproteobacteria; Enterobacterales; Enterobacteriaceae
Description: 23S ribosomal RNA
Rfam family: Bacterial large subunit ribosomal RNA
Source: RNAcentral